Molecule: small RNA, 182 nt
Filed under: Chrysemys picta bellii (western painted turtle)
Lineage: Eukaryota; Metazoa; Chordata; Testudines; Emydidae
Description: TUC338 (ENSCPBG00000010549.1)
Source: RNAcentral
UUGACAAUCUUGGGGAAUGAAGUCUUCUACUUAUCCUUAGACCAGGUAAAACAAAGGCAGCAGGAGUGCAAGCUUCCCCACCCCACUAAAAUGCCUCAACCUUUUUCUAAAAGGGCUACCAGAAUAGCACAGGGUAAUAUGAACACUAUGUUCAUGCAAUCUUAGGUCAUUCUCUUGAGUCU